CCUACGGGAGGCAGCAGUGGGGAAUUUUGGACAAUGGGCGAAAGCCUGAUCCAGCCAUGCCGCGUGCAGGAUGAAGGCCUUCGGGUUGUAAACUGCUUUUGUACGGAACGAAAAGGUCUUUUCUAAUAAAGAAGGCUCAUGACGGUACCGUAAGAAUAAGCACCGGCUAACUACGUGUCAGCAGCCGCGGUAAUACGUAGGGUGCGAGCGUUAAUCGGAAUUACUGGGCGUAAAGCGUGCGCAGGCGGUUAUAUAAGACAGUUGUGAAAUCCCCGGGCUCAACCUGGGAACUGCAUCUGUGACUGUAUAGCUAGAGUACGGUAGAGGGGGAUGGAAUUCCGCGUGUAGCAGUGAAAUGCGUAGAUAUGCGGAGGAACACCGAUGGCGAAGGCAAUCCCCUGGACCUGUACUGACGCUCAUGCACGAAAGCGUGGGGAGCAAACAGGAUUAGAUACCCUGGUAGUCCACGCCCUAAACGAUGUCAACUGGUUGUUGGGUCUUCACUGACUCAGUAACGAAGCUAACGCGUGAAGUUGACCGCCUGGGGAGUACGGCCGCAAGGUUGAAACGUUACGAAAGUAGUAGGACGGCGUAGAGACGUCGACCGACGGACACCGACGGAGGGUUAGAGG
This 632-nucleotide ribosomal RNA is filed under the name uncultured bacterium. RNAcentral describes it as "bacterial SSU rRNA". It matches the Rfam family "Bacterial small subunit ribosomal RNA", at positions 338 to 1257 of the family's 1533-position model. The record is from RNAcentral.